This 1475-nucleotide long non-coding RNA is filed under the name Pan paniscus (pygmy chimpanzee). Its description in RNAcentral is "lncRNA (ENSPPAG00000044794.1)". The record is from RNAcentral. Lineage: Eukaryota; Metazoa; Chordata; Mammalia; Primates; Hominidae.
AUGGAGGGAAGACGACUUCUUCCCACAAGAAGGUUCCCUUCUACUCGAGUGGACUGGAGCCCUGAGCUUAUUCCUCAAGGAAAUUUUCUCUCUGGAAGAAAUCCAAUCCUAUCAGACUCAGACAAAAGCCCUGUCACUGGGGUUGUGGGAAAAAGAAAAACCGUACACGGCAGCCCUAACUCUUGCAGAGAGAAUAUGUUAAAUCAUAAAGCAAGAUCAUAUAUGAUCGCAUCUCAAAGUGUGCAAAACAGCAGUAGUGAGGGGGUGGAUUCAGAGGAAGAAGGAGGAAGUACCGACGGGGGAGGCAGGAAAAGAAAUGCCAUCCUGGAUCAGAGCUGUGAACGUCAAAGGAGAGGGGUGAUCCUCACCUCUGGAGAUGAGAGACUGGAAGAGAAUGCCUGUGAAGUUGGUAGGUGGAAGCCAUCAGUGCUGGAGGCAAGAUAGUCUGACCUGGUGUUCUUACCAACAUGUUCUGGCCUGGAGGCCUGGCAUUCUCUGUCCUCUGCCAAGUGGAGGAAUUGGAAAAUUAAAGGUUGUUUGGGGGCCUGGGCACAUGCUUUCUUCUUCUUUAGCUACUUAUAGGAGAUAUCAUGAGAUUUAAAAAUGCAUGUGAAAGUGUUAGGAUCAUGAUUGCCUCUUUCUUCUUUCUCUCAUUGAGCAUUUGUAUUUUCACUCUAACAAUUGGAACAAGUCUUUUUGCUGCCUUAGCAGUACAGCAUAGUGGUGGGGAUCCUGGUCUCUAGAAAGGCAGACCACCUGGGGCCAUAUCUCAGCCACUACUUCCUGGCUGGAUUACCUUAACAUGCUCCUUCACUUCUGUGCCUCAGCUCCUUCAUCUAGAAAAUAGACACACUGAUAGUUUACACUGUAUGGGGUUGUUUAAUAUAUGGAAAUGCUUAAUAAAUGUUAGUUGCUGUCAUCAUCAUUAUCAUCAAUAUCUAUGGGCCUUUUUAGUUUGCUUUUUUAUUUAAAAAAAAUUUUAUACUUAAGAAAGGGAAGCUUUUCUGGUCUUAGCUGCCUUUCUCCAUUGCCUAGCAAUCUGAAAAUAGUGCAGUCAUUGAAGGUUAAGUCGACCCUUUAUGCAAUUCUUGCCUGGGAGGCCUCAUUGUGUAUAGUGAGUCACCACCACUUAGAAGUGGACAGUGAGUCAGUAGCCUAUUAAGGGGAGGUCAGAAGUUCCCCUGGCUCAAAAUGAAAGGAUCCAAACCCAACCCUGGGGUACAGAAAAAACAGUGUACUUAUAUGGCUGACUGGACUUGAAGUGCCAUGGAGUACCUGGACUACUCCAGUGAGAAGGCAUAAUAUGGCGGGUAAACGCUGGGGCUUUAGAAUCACACAGGCCUCAGUUGGAUUUCAGCUCUACCUCUGCCUUGCUGUGUGACCUCAGACAAGUUGCUUAACCUCUCUGUGCCUCAUUUUUCUAUCAUCUGUAAAUGGAAAUGAUCAUAACAGAAAUUACUUCAUGAUACAAAUGA